CUUCUCUGAUAGUUAGCGGCGGACGGGUGAGUAACACGUGGGUAACCUACCUAUAAGACUGGGAUAACUCCGGGAAACCGGGGCUAAUACCGGAUAAUAUUUUGAACCGCAUGGUUCAAUAGUGAAAGACGGUUUCGGCUGUCACUUAUAGAUGGACCCGCGCCGUAUUAGCUAGUUGGUAAGGUAACGGCUUACCAAGGCGACGAUACGUAGCCGACCUGAGAGGGUGAUCGGCCACACUGGAACUGAGACACGGUCCAGACUCCUACGGGAGGCAGCAGUAGGGAAUCUUCCGCAAUGGGCGAAAGCCUGACGGAGCAACGCCGCGUGAGUGAUGAAGGUCUUCGGAUCGUAAAACUCUGUUGUUAGGGAAGAACAAAUUUGUUAGUAACUGAACAAGUCUUGACGGUACCUAACCAGAAAGCCACGGCUAACUACGUGCCAGCAGCCGCGGUAAUACGUAGGUGGCAAGCGUUAUCCGGAAUUAUUGGGCGUAAAGCGCGCGUAGGCGGUUUCUUAAGUCUGAUGUGAAAGCCCACGGCUCAACCGUGGAGGGUCAUUGGAAACUGGGAAACUUGAGUGCAGAAGAGGAGAGUGGAAUUCCAUGUGUAGCGGUGAAAUGCGCAGAGAUAUGGAGGAACACCAGUGGCGAAGGCGGCUCUCUGGUCUGUAACUGACGCUGAUGUGCGAAAGCGUGGGGAUCAAACAGGAUUAGAUACCCUGGUAGUCCACGCCGUAAACGAUGAGUGCUAAGUGUUAGGGGGUUUCCGCCCCUUAGUGCUGCAGCUAACGCAUUAAGCACUCCGCCUGGGGAGUACGAC
This 821-nucleotide ribosomal RNA is filed under the name Mammaliicoccus sciuri. RNAcentral describes it as "bacterial SSU rRNA". It matches the Rfam family "Bacterial small subunit ribosomal RNA", at positions 80 to 886 of the family's 1533-position model. The record is from RNAcentral. Lineage: Bacteria; Bacillati; Bacillota; Bacilli; Caryophanales; Staphylococcaceae.